Lactuca sativa (garden lettuce) is the source of this 1387-nucleotide non-coding RNA. The record is from RefSeq and is a predicted model, not a curated record. Lineage: Eukaryota; Viridiplantae; Streptophyta; Magnoliopsida; Asterales; Asteraceae.
CAGAAAAAAUCCCUAGCUAAUUAGUGACUGAUUUACAAGGGAUAUGCCACGAAAAUCAUUUUUGUAGAUAAGGUGUAAAUUUUAGCAUGUUAGCGAGGGAUUAGAAAGGGAUUACUGACGGAAUCAGAAACUCACAAAUAUUUCGGUCACUAAUUUUUGUUAAGCCCUCCCAAAUAUUUCAUUUCCCCCGCUCCUCAUCCCAAUUAUUUUCAUUUCCCCCCAUUCUCCCUCCUAAAUCGACAUUCACUAGUUAUCUCUCAUGCUUGUUUCUGAAAUCCAAAGCCCAAAUCGACACUCGUCUUGCAAAUCGGCACUCAUCCCAAAUCGAUACUAAUAGUCGUCUUCUUUAUGUUCCUAAAACUCGAUUCCAACAGAAGGAAACCCUAGCCAAGACCCUCGAUAUCAUGACGACCCUUCCUGUCGAUGAAAUUUAACCCAAGUAAGUUUCUGUCUUUGGCUUCUUUCCUGUAGCUAAUGUGCUGGCUCAUCUUCUUCAGUUCGUAUGUGGCUUCUUUUCUUCUAUUCCGACUUUUAGAUAUGGGAAGAAGCAAAGGACAGAGAGAAACAUGAAGACGAGAGUAGGACCACUGCAUCUGAUUCCUUUUGACCACUUCAUCACCGCCGAGCCUGAAAUCCCAUGAACCACCGUCUCAACCUUUCUCACAAAAAUCUUAAUUCCUCACUAAGGUUUUCCUCUAUAUCUAUCUAACUGUGUGUUUUUAUUUCGUAGAAACAAAAGUUGUUCUGUUUUUUCUUUCUAAAUUGGUCUGAUUACACAAAAUAAAUAUUUAUGAUAUUUGUUAUUUAGAUAGUUUUUUUCAGUUUUUUGGUUCGUUUUGGUUGGUGCAUGUUUUGUUUGAUGUUUGUGAGGAAGGUUCAAGAAUGGGAGUGGAAGGUUCUUAACUAAAUUAGUUGAUUUAUAUAUAUCUCUAUGUGUGUAUACUCUAAUGCAUGAAUUUGUGUGUGUACAAACUCCAGUACUGUUGCAGAUCUUUCUAGUGGUGAAUUAGUGUUCGAGUCUUUAGCUGAGGCAUGUUCUUUGCAAAUAGUGAAACAACUAAAACAAACCUUUCUGUGAAGUUAAUGCAGGUUUCAUAUUUGUAGGUUAUCUCAAUCAUGUUUGUAAGGAAGUAAGAGGAACUAUUUGACGAAUGCGAGGUCCUAGUUUCUAGUAGUGAAAUCGCCAGGAGGUGUAACUUACUCCUAAAGAUCAAGGAAACAACUUAACCACUUAACUAGACUUUGGAACUUUUGAUUUUUGUUAAUAGGUUUAGGAAAUAAGAAAUUGAAUAUGAAUGAUUAUUUUGUAAGUCGAAUUUAAUCAUUAUUUUGGUAGUGGGAUGUCAAUGUAAUGUUUUGGGGUAUAAAUUUGAAUUUCAUUUGUGAA